RNAcentral lists this ribosomal RNA (545 nucleotides) under uncultured bacterium. RNAcentral describes it as "bacterial SSU rRNA". It matches the Rfam family "Bacterial small subunit ribosomal RNA", at positions 777 to 1322 of the family's 1533-position model. The record is from RNAcentral.
AAUAGAUACCCGGGUAGUCCAUGCCGUAAACGUUGGGAACUAGAUGUGGGGGACCAUUCCACGGUCUCCGUGUCGCAGCUAACGCAUUAAGUUCCCCGCCUGGGGAGUACGGCCGCAAGGCUAAAACUCAAAGGAAUUGACGGGGGCCCGCACAAGCGGCGGAGCAUGCGGAUUAAUUCGAUGCAACGCGAAGAACCUUACCAAGGCUUGACAUAUACCGGAAAGGUCUGGAAACAGUCCCCCCGCAAGGUCGGUAUACAGGUGGUGCAUGGUUGUCGUCAGCUUGUGUCGUGAGAUGUUGGGUUAAGUCCCGCAACGAGCGCAACCCUCGUCUUAUGUUGCCAGCGGUUCGGCCGGGGACUCAUAAGAGACUGCCGGGGUCAACUCGGAGGAAGGUGGGGAUGAGGUCAAAUCAGUCAUGCCCCUUAUGUCUUGGGCUUCACGCAUGCUACAAUGGCCGGUACAAAGGGCUGCAAUACCGCGAGGUGGAGCGAAUCCCAAAAGCCGGUCUCAGUUCGGAUUGAGGUCUGCAACUCGACCCCAUG